GGAUAUGAGGGUGAUCUGGUUGCAACAUCUGUCAACCCAUUGAUCACCAGUGCUGAUUUGGCUGGUGUGGCAGCUAGGCAGGUGUCCCCUUCCUCCCUCACUGGGUGGCUCCUUGUGUGUCCCUCUGGGAGCUGCAUACUCAGAGGAAGAGGAAGAUCAGCCCUGAUGGACGAGAACUGUUUCCUACAUGGAGUAGCUGAACUCUCCUCCAAACAAGCUCUCAACAUUUAAGUAACUGCUCAAGAAUGCAAUGAAGAAGAAGUUGAAAGGGAAGUCCCAAACCUGUGCAUGACUAAUGCU
Non-coding RNA from Fukomys damarensis (Damara mole-rat), 300 nucleotides. The record is from Rfam. Lineage: Eukaryota; Metazoa; Chordata; Mammalia; Rodentia; Bathyergidae.